UAUAACUUCACUGAAAAAACCUAAUUGUGAUACGGAGAACAUCUCUCAUCUGAUUUAUCAUCACAUACCGAACGCAAUUUUGGCAUCCAGCAUUGGAGAGGAAUUGACAUUCAUACUUCCUAAAGACAGCGUACAGAGGUUUGAAUCUCUAUUUACUGACUUGGAACUGAGACAGGUAGAGCUGGGCAUCUCCAGCUUUGGGGCCUCUGUCACCGCCAUGGAGGAUGUCUUCAUAAGGGGUUGUAUGUUGGCAGAUCCAGUACAGCUAUCUCAAACAUCAAACGUCCCUCUAUGCAUCCCUAGCCGCACUUAACAGAAUUCCUGUUGACAGAAGUAAACAUCUUCAUUUAAGGAUCUUCUCAAUACAGACUGGGCUGCCAAUCAGACCAAACGCUG
RNAcentral lists this long non-coding RNA (396 nucleotides) under Cercocebus atys (sooty mangabey). RNAcentral describes it as "lncRNA (ENSCATG00000045890.1)". The record is from RNAcentral. Lineage: Eukaryota; Metazoa; Chordata; Mammalia; Primates; Cercopithecidae.